This 768-nucleotide unclassified non-coding RNA is filed under the name Hevea brasiliensis (rubber tree). The record is from RNAcentral. Lineage: Eukaryota; Viridiplantae; Streptophyta; Magnoliopsida; Malpighiales; Euphorbiaceae.
CUUUAUAUGAUUCUACGCCCACCAACCUUGGUUUAUUCGAGAACAAAAUACACUAUCUAGGUCUGCAUUUUUAUUUCACACUUACAGGGUAUAAACAUAGAAGCUCUUUUCUUCCAAUUCAGCUUGCUCUCAGAUCAAGCCUUGCAGGACAAAAACUUCGAUCCCUCAACGAUCGAGGACCUGAUGAAGCUGUUUGAGAUAGAUGCAUACAAGUCACGGGCAGCAACGGAGCUUGAGCAGGAAAAGGAAGUGAAAGAAGCAGAAAUAGCUAUGCAAAAAGCUGAUGACUAUUUUGAUUCUGUGAUGGAAAGUGCCAUGGAUGAAUUUCGUCGAUUCGAAAGGAUGGCAAAGGCAGAGCUUGAAAGCUUAGAACAGACUGCUGAGAGUGCAAGAAAAAUGGGAAAAUUAAUGGAAAAAACAGCAAAUAUUGCUUCCAAGAAGUAUAUUGAAUCUGCUGUUAAUUCUGCUACUGCUUCCAUGAAAUCUGGCUGGAAGGGACUGUCCUCUAACAAGGUUCAUCCUUCUUGAGAGAUCCUGAUGAAUUUUUAACCUUUUUCCUUUUCCUUUCCCUGAUCAUGAAAGAACUCUUUUUCAUUGUACUAUGUUCUUCAUCUGAGGCUCUUGUUAAAGUCAUAUGGUAAAGAAAAGCCAUAAAGUGAUGAUCUUUAAGAACUGGGAAAUGUAAUAAAUAUAACAGGAAAUUGAAAAUUACUCAUUUGUGGAAGAAAAUUAUAUAAAGAAAAGCCUAAAUGAAAUAAUUAAUUAUCA